This 253-nucleotide ribosomal RNA is filed under the name uncultured bacterium. Its description in RNAcentral is "partial 16S ribosomal RNA". It matches the Rfam family "Bacterial small subunit ribosomal RNA", at positions 524 to 776 of the family's 1533-position model. The record is from RNAcentral.
UACAGAGGGGGCAAGCGUUGUUCGGAAUUACUGGGCGUAAAGGGCGCGUAGGCGGCUAUUCAAGUGGCGGGUGAAAUCCCUCGGCUUAACCGAGGAACUGCCUGCCAGACUGGAUGGCUUGAGACCGGGAGAGGUGAGUGGAAUUCCCAGUGUAGCGGUGAAAUGCGUAGAUAUUGGGAGGAACACCAGUGGCGAAGGCGGCUCACUGGACCGGUACUGACGCUGAGGCGCGAAAGCGUGGGGAGCAAACAGG